This 515-nucleotide ribosomal RNA is filed under the name Botrytis cinerea. RNAcentral's name for it is "eukaryotic LSU rRNA". The stretch from base 165 to 318 matches the Rfam family "5.8S ribosomal RNA". The record is from RNAcentral. Lineage: Eukaryota; Fungi; Ascomycota; Leotiomycetes; Helotiales; Sclerotiniaceae.
CUGCGGAAGGAUCAUUACAGAGUUCAUGCCCGAAAGGGUAGACCUCCCACCCUUGUGUAUUAUUACUUUGUUGCUUUGGCGAGCUGCCUUCGGGCCUUGUAUGCUCGCCAGAGAAUACCAAAACUCUUUUUAUUAAUGUCGUCUGAGUACUAUAUAAUAGUUAAAACUUUCAACAACGGAUCUCUUGGUUCUGGCAUCGAUGAAGAACGCAGCGAAAUGCGAUAAGUAAUGUGAAUUGCAGAAUUCAGUGAAUCAUCGAAUCUUUGAACGCACAUUGCGCCCCUUGGUAUUCCGGGGGGCAUGCCUGUUCGAGCGUCAUUUCAACCCUCAAGCUUAGCUUGGUAUUGAGUCUAUGUCAGUAAUGGCAGGCUCUAAAAUCAGUGGCGGCGCCGCUGGGUCCUGAACGUAGUAAUAUCUCUCGUUACAGGUUCUCGGUGUGCUUCUGCCAAAACCCAAAUUUUUCUAUGGUUGACCUCGGAUCAGGUAGGGAUACCCGCUGAACUUAAGCAUAUCAA